GUCAGAUUGGCCGAGCGGUCUACCGCGCCAGAUUUAAGCUCUGGUUCCCAAUUGGGAGCGUGGGUUCGAACCCCCCCACACCUGACA
This 87-nucleotide transfer RNA is filed under the name Cinara cedri. RNAcentral describes it as "tRNA.Leu". It matches the Rfam family "tRNA". From Rfam's summary of the family: Transfer RNA (tRNA) molecules are approximately 80 nucleotides in length. Their secondary structure includes four short double-helical elements and three loops (D, anti-codon, and T loops). The record is from RNAcentral. Lineage: Eukaryota; Metazoa; Arthropoda; Insecta; Hemiptera; Aphididae.